GAACUAGCGGUCAUCGCGAAUGCAUCUAGAUUUUUAAUUUGAUCAUGGCUCAGAACGACACGCUGGCUGGCAUGCCUAACACAUGCAAGUCGAACGAGACCUUCGGGUCUAGUGGCGCACGGGUGCGUAACGCGUGGGAAUCUGCCCUUGGGUUCGGAAUAACAGUUAGAAAUGACUGCUAAUACCGAAUGAUGACUCCGGUCCAAAGAUUUAUCGCCCAGGGAUGAGCCCGCGUCGGAUUAGCUAGUUGGUGGGGUAAAGGCCUACCAAGGCGACGAUCCGUAGCUGGUCUGAGAGGAUGAUCAGCCACACUGGGACUGAGACACGGCCCAGACUCCUACGGGAGGCAGCAGUGGGGAAUAUUGGACAAUGGGCGAAAGCCUGAUCCAGCAAUGCCGCGUGAGUGAUGAAGGCCUUAGGGUUGUAAAGCUCUUUUACCCGGGAUGAUAAUGACAGUACCGGGAGAAUAAGCCCCGGCUAACUCCGUGCCAGCAGCCGCGGUAAUACGGAGGGGGCUAGCGUUGUUCGGAAUUACUGGGCGUAAAGCGCGCGUAGGCGGCUUUGUAAGUCAGAGGUGAAAGCCUGGAGCUCAAAUCCAGAACUGGCUUUUGAAACUACAUCGCUAGAAUCACUGGGCACGAGGGUUAGUGGAAUUUCCGAGUGUAGAGGGUUGAACAACUCUCCCGGUAAGCACUUACUUUCCCGGGAAAAGAAAACAACCC
RNAcentral lists this ribosomal RNA (722 nucleotides) under uncultured bacterium. Its description in RNAcentral is "partial 16S ribosomal RNA". It matches the Rfam family "Bacterial small subunit ribosomal RNA", at positions 1 to 709 of the family's 1533-position model. The record is from RNAcentral.